CCUACGGGAGACAGCAGUGGGGGAUAUUGCACAAUGGGGGAAACCCUGAUGCAGCGACGCCGCGUGGGUGAAGAAGUAUUUCAGUAUGUAAAGCCCUAUCAGCAGGGAAGAAAGAAGACGGUACCUGACUAAGAAGCCCCGGCUAACUACGUGCCAGCAGCCGCGGUAAUACGUAGGGGGCGAGCGUUAUCCGGAUUCACUGGGUGUAAAGGGAGCGUAGACGGCCGUGCAAGCCAGGAGUGAAAGCCCGGGGCCCAACCCCGGGACUGCUCUUGGAACUGUGCGGCUGGAGUGCGGGAGGGGCAGGCGGAAUUCCUGGUGUAGCGGUGAAAUGCGUAGAUAUCAGGAGGAACACCGGCGGCGAAGGCGGCCUGCUGGACCGCGACUGACGUUGAGGCUCGAAAGCGUGGGGAGCGAACAGGAUUAGAUACCCCGGUAGUC
Molecule: ribosomal RNA, 441 nt
Filed under: uncultured bacterium
Lineage: Bacteria
Description: partial 16S ribosomal RNA
Rfam family: Bacterial small subunit ribosomal RNA
Source: RNAcentral